AGCGGAUAAUGCCGGGGACUCAUGGGAGACUGCCAGGGACAACUGGAGGAAGGCGGGGAUGACGUCAAGUCAUCAUGCCCCUUAUGUCUUGGGCUACACACGUACUACAAUGGUCGGCAACAAAGGGCAGCGAAACCGCGAGGUGGAGCAAAUCCCAGAAACCCGGCCUCAGUUCGGAUUGCAGGCUGCAACUCGCCUGCAUGAAGUCGGAAUCGCUAGUAAUCGCAGGUCAGCAUACUGCGGUGAAUACGUUCCCGGGCCUUGUACACACCGCCCGUCACACCACGAAAGUUGGUAACACCCGAAGCCGGUGAGGUAACCAGUAAUGGAGCCAGCCGUCUAAGGUGGGGCCGAUGAUUGGGGU
RNAcentral lists this ribosomal RNA (364 nucleotides) under uncultured Veillonellaceae bacterium. RNAcentral's name for it is "bacterial SSU rRNA". It matches the Rfam family "Bacterial small subunit ribosomal RNA", at positions 1120 to 1481 of the family's 1533-position model. The record is from RNAcentral. Lineage: Bacteria; Bacillati; Bacillota; Negativicutes; Veillonellales; Veillonellaceae.